AUUGAACGCUGGCGGAAUGCUUUACACAUGCAAGUCGAGCGGCAGCGCGGGGGCAACCCUGGCGGCGAGCGGCGAACGGGUGAGUAACGCAUCGGAACGUACCUUGUAGUGGGGGAUAACUAUCCGAAAGGAUAGCUAAUACCGCAUACGCCCUGAGGGGGAAAGGGGGGGAUCGCAAGACCUCUCGCUACAGGAGCGGCCGAUGUCCGAUUAGCUAGUUGGUGAGGUAAAGGCUCACCAAGGCGACGAUCGGUAGCUGGUCUGAGAGGAUGAUCAGCCACACUGGGACUGAGACACGGCCCAGACUCCUACGGGAGGCAGCAGUGGGGAAUUUUGGACAAUGGGCGCAAGCCUGAUCCAGCCAUGCCGCGUGCAGGAUGAAGGCCUUCGGGUUGGUAAACGUUAGCUUUUGUACGGUACGAAAAAGACUACUCUCUAAUACA
This 443-nucleotide ribosomal RNA is filed under the name uncultured bacterium. Its description in RNAcentral is "bacterial SSU rRNA". It matches the Rfam family "Bacterial small subunit ribosomal RNA", at positions 30 to 474 of the family's 1533-position model. The record is from RNAcentral.